AUUCUGAGACGCCUCAGUGCAGUCUCACACCUGAGAAAUUUCGGGUAGCAAAGAGCAAACGUGCGCUUUGCAUGGAAUGAAAACAGGGAGCAGAAAUGGAGAGGAAUGUCGAGGAACCUGUGUGGACACGRGAAGCAUUUUGCCGCUCCUCGGUGGGGGAAUACUGCAGACUGGCUAACCGUCUGAAACCGGCUCCAGAGACCCGAGACACCCUCCCCCUCUUCUGCAGCCGCAUUUCACUUGUGACCUUACGCAGCCCGUGGUCAGACGCGAUCCUUUGAACACGUCCCCGAGCAGCAGUGAUUAGAAGCGCUUUGAUUGCCCUGCUCAGCUGGUCCUCAGCUCCCGCGCCGCCGCCGCCRCGCUCGCCCGCCUCCCCCUCGCACGCGGGCUCGUUCGCUCUCGGCGACGUUUAAGUCAAAGCUUCUUCUGUCCCUCCUCCCCCUCCGGCCCCCUUUCAUUUUCGUAUAGCGUAUUAAACCUCAAGACGUAGUUAACACUAAUCCUGAUGUAUUUAGGAUUUAUCUGCAUUAUUAAUUCCAGUCGUGUUGUGAAAAAGUACUAAGGGUUCCAGCUUGUAUAUAAACUUUGGCUGUUGUGGGGAGAGGUUUAUUUGAAUCUUCUCCUCGAAGUGAUAUUUUAGUCGAAAUCUCACUUUCCCAUUUUUAAAACACUUCAGAUAGGAGCUGGCCAUAAUAAUUUGAUUUAUUGUUAUUUUUUUCAGUAAAUACCCUCUUGGACUAUUUUAUGCAUUAAUCUGGAUUUGAUGUGGAUUUAAACAUUUACAAUGCAAAAUAAUUUGGGUUAAAAAUAAUCCUCCUUGAUAAAGCUAAAAAAAMCCCCACAACUGUCACCAUCUCUGACAGCCAGGCAUCGACGGCAAUCCUUGAAUAUGCAAAUCAAGGCAAGGAGACGAUGAAGCCGCGAGACCAGGCAUGGUGCGUUCGUUUGAUAGUCCAGUCAAUCAAGUGAUGACUGAUGAACAGCACGAAGAAUCUGGGUCUCGAGCUGCUGAGUCUCAAACCUAAACUGCCUACUAUUGCUCAGUAAGUGUGUCUUCAAACAGUGCCAGCCCAUGCUGUACCUCUUCCCUAUUCUCAGUUUGGGAUUUCCAGCAGGAAAAUGCUUCUCCGGGUUCAGUAUAACGUAGGAAGGACCAUGAGACUGAGACACCCUUCCCCUGCUCUGGCAGACAACCGUACGCAGUCCUGUUCGUAAACUGAGGGACUCCACCUCAAACUAGGUACAGGUUUAUUGCUUCCAGUAUCGCUAUUAGCAGGU
This 1281-nucleotide long non-coding RNA is filed under the name Apteryx rowi (Okarito brown kiwi). RNAcentral describes it as "lncRNA (ENSARWG00000008394.1)". The record is from RNAcentral. Lineage: Eukaryota; Metazoa; Chordata; Aves; Apterygiformes; Apterygidae.